AGCCUUUGGACGAGGUUGGGGACCACCAAUUGCACUAGGGUUGGCGCCACUCCAAGUUUGGCGUGGAGUCAACAACAGGUUCUUCCUUGGUUUUCCUUGAGAUUGCAGCGUGUGCUUUCUUGAAACUCUUGAUGCUGGUGCCGAACUUGACAAUGAUCAAGUUUGGCGUGGAGUGGUCCAUACAAAAUGGAAGAAAAGGGUAUAUUAUUAUAUAUCGUUGGAAAGCUCUGGAAGUUAGCUUUUCAAUGCCACUUGAAUGACAUCAAUUGGACCUCUGUAACUCAAGUUAUUUCUGUUUGAGUACAAGGAGGUCAGGGUUGACAGCAUCAUUCACUUUCUUCC
RNAcentral lists this long non-coding RNA (342 nucleotides) under Arachis ipaensis. RNAcentral describes it as "long non-coding RNA (AIPA_LNC000359)". Lineage: Eukaryota; Viridiplantae; Streptophyta; Magnoliopsida; Fabales; Fabaceae. The record is from RNAcentral.